This 253-nucleotide ribosomal RNA is filed under the name uncultured bacterium. RNAcentral's name for it is "partial 16S ribosomal RNA". It matches the Rfam family "Bacterial small subunit ribosomal RNA", at positions 524 to 776 of the family's 1533-position model. The record is from RNAcentral.
UACGAAGGGGGCUAGCGUUGUUCGGAAUUACUGGGCGUAAAGCGCACGUAGGCGGCUUUCUAAGUCGGGGGUGAAAUCCAGGAGCUCAACUCCAGAACUGCCUUCGAUACUGGAGAGCUUGAGUCCGGGAGAGGUGAGUGGAACUGCGAGUGUAGAGGUGAAAUUCGUAGAUAUUCGCAAGAACACCAGUGGCGAAGGCGGCUCACUGGCCCGGUACUGACGCUGAGGUGCGAAAGCGUGGGGAGCAAACAGG